RNAcentral lists this ribosomal RNA (303 nucleotides) under uncultured bacterium. RNAcentral's name for it is "partial 16S ribosomal RNA". It matches the Rfam family "Bacterial small subunit ribosomal RNA", at positions 507 to 807 of the family's 1533-position model. The record is from RNAcentral.
AGCAGUCGCCGCGGUAAUACGAAGGGGGCUAGCGUUGCUCGGAAUGACUGGGCGUAAAGGGCGCGUAGGCGGCAUACACAGUCAGACGUGAAAUUCCUGGGCUUAACCUGGGGGCUGCGUUUGAUACGUGUAGGCUAGAGUGGGGAAGAGGGUUGUGGAAUUCCCAGUGUAGAGGUGAAAUUCGUAGAUAUUGGGAAGAACACCGGUGGCGAAGGCGGCAACCUGGUCCUUGACUGACGCUGAGGCGCGAAAGCGUGGGGAGCAAACAGGAUUAGAUACCCGCGUAGUCCCUGUCUCUUAUAC